GUAGUCCACGCUGUAAACGUUGGGCGCUAGGUGUGGGGCCCAUCAUCGGGCUCCGUGCCGCAGCUAACGCAUUAAGCGCCCCGCCUGGGGAGUACGGCCGCAAGGCUAAAACUCAAAGGAAUUGACGGGGGCCUGCACAAGCGGCGGAGCAUGUAGCUUAAUUCGAUGCAACGCGAAGAACCUUACCGAGGUUUGACAUUCCGGGAAAACUCCCAGAGAUGGGAGGUGCCUUCGGGCGUCCCGGUGCAGGUGGUGCAUGGCUGUCGUCAGCUCGUGUCGUGAGAUGUUGGGUUAAGUCCCGCAACGAGCGCAACCCUUGUUCCAUGUUGCCAGCGGUUCGGCCGGGGACU
Molecule: ribosomal RNA, 350 nt
Filed under: uncultured Actinomycetes bacterium
Lineage: Bacteria; Bacillati; Actinomycetota; Actinomycetes
Description: bacterial SSU rRNA
Rfam family: Bacterial small subunit ribosomal RNA
Source: RNAcentral